GGCGGCAUGCCUUACACAUGCAAGUCGAACGGCAGCAUGAUCUAGCUUGCUAGAUUGAUGGCGAGUGGCGAACGGGUGAGUAAUACAUCGGAACGUGCCCUGUAGUGGGGGAUAACUAGUCGAAAGAUUAGCUAAUACCGCAUACGACCUGAGGGUGAAAGUGGGGGACCGCAAGGCCUCAUGCUAUAGGAGCGGCCGAUGUCUGAUUAGCUAGUUGGUGAGGUAAAGGCUCACCAAGGCGACGAUCAGUAGCUGGUCUGAGAGGACGAUCAGCCACACUGGGACUGAGACACGGCCCAGACUCCUACGGGAGGCAGCAGUGGGGAAUUUUGGACAAUGGGCGAAAGCCUGAUCCAGCAAUGCCGCGUGUGUGAAGAAGGCCUUCGGGUUGUAAAGCACUUUUGUCCGGAAAGAAAUGGCUCUGGUUAAUACCUGGGGUCGAUGACGGUACCGGAAGAAUAAGGACCGGCUAACUACGUGCCAGCAGCCGCGGUA
This 495-nucleotide ribosomal RNA is filed under the name Ralstonia sp. 2F1. Its description in RNAcentral is "bacterial SSU rRNA". It matches the Rfam family "Bacterial small subunit ribosomal RNA", at positions 38 to 522 of the family's 1533-position model. The record is from RNAcentral. Lineage: Bacteria; Pseudomonadati; Pseudomonadota; Betaproteobacteria; Burkholderiales; Burkholderiaceae.